GCUCCACCGUGAAAAGAGAGUGGCGAACGGGUGAGUAACACGUGGGUAACCUGCCCAUCAGAAGGGGAUAACACUUGGAAACAGGUGCUAAUACCGUAUAACAAUCAAAACCGCAUGGUUUUGAUUUGAAAGGCGCUUUCGGGUGUCGCUGAUGGAUGGACCCGCGGUGCAUUAGCUAGUUGGUGAGGUAACGGCUCACCAAGGCCACGAUGCAUAGCCGACCUGAGAGGGUGAUCGGCCACAUUGGGACUGAGACACGGCCCAAACUCCUACGGGAGGCAGCAGUAGGGAAUCUUCGGCAAUGGACGAAAGUCUGACCGAGCAACGCCGCGUGAGUGAAGAAGGUUUUCGGAUCGUAAAACUCUGUUGUUAGAGAAGAACAAGGAUGAGAGUAACUGUUCAUCCCUUGACGGUAUCUAACCAGAAAGCCACGGCUAACUACGUGCCAGCAGCCGCGGUAAUACGUAGGUGGCAAGCGUUGUCCGGAUUUAUUGGGCGUAAAGCGAGCGCAGGCGGUUUCUUAAGUCUGAUGUGAAAGCCCCCGGCUCAACCGGGGAGGGUCAUUGGAAACUGGGAGACUUGAGUGCAGAAGAGGAGAGUGGAAUUCCAUGUGUAGCGGUGAAAUGCGUAGAUAUAUGGAGGAACACCAGUGGCGAAGGCGGCUCUCUGGUCUGUAACUGACGCUGAGGCUCGAAAGCGUGGGGAGCAAACAGGAUUAGAUACCCUGGUAGUCCACGCCGUAAACGAUGAGUGCUAAGUGUUGGAGGGUUUCCGCCCUUCAGUGCUGCAGCUAACGCAUUAAGCACUCCGCCUGGGGAGUACGACCGCAAGGUUGAAACUCAAAGGAAUUGACGGGGGCCCGCACAAGCGGUGGAGCAUGUGGUUUAAUUCGAAGCAACGCGAAGAACCUUACCAGGUCUUGACAUCCUUUGACCACUCUAGAGAUAGAGCUUCCCCUUCGGGGGCAAAGUGACAGGUGGUGCAUGGUUGUCGUCAGCUCGUGUCGUGAGAUGUUGGGUUAAGUCCCGCAACGAGCGCAACCCUU
Molecule: ribosomal RNA, 1045 nt
Filed under: Enterococcus faecium
Lineage: Bacteria; Bacillati; Bacillota; Bacilli; Lactobacillales; Enterococcaceae
Description: bacterial SSU rRNA
Rfam family: Bacterial small subunit ribosomal RNA
Source: RNAcentral